CAUUAGUGUCCUUUUGUUGCUGGAAAUGAAGUUCAAUCAGUUCGGUCUCAGUAAAACUCAUUUUAACCACUUUAAACCACACGUAGUUGUUUGGUGACGAAGUUUGGAUGACACUUGCUUAGUGGCAACGUAUGUAUCAGGCGUGUUAUAAGGCGACGUAGAUAGUUCAGACGUACUUAGUACACGUACAUUUUUAUAUACAUUUCGAACAUGCGGUAAACGAUUCUUCAUGCACUCCCCGUGACAUCGCCGCCGGUCUUUCGUCUGCAGUCCCAAUCAAAUCCAUUCAAAACUUCACACGGACUGACGGCGACGGAAGAGAAGGCUGCUCCUUUUCCUUCUUCUGUGAAAGCUUUGAAUUGUCAGCAUCCACUUGCCAUAUACCGCCACCUACUGUACCGGGGCUCACGAAACUCUUCGUGAUUGGUCGAUGAAACGCUACCAGGAACGCCCUGAGGGCGUUCUUGUGUCAUUACGGGAACACCCAAACCGCAGCUAGACCCUUAAAAAACAGGUUACCUCUAAAAAACAGGUAAGUUGUUCCUGAAAUUUAGGUGAUGACACAAAAAUAUCUGCACUUAAUUAAGCCUGACACAAUUGUCUCUUUUGUGAUUUAAUAUUUAUUUAAUACUAUUAUUCAAAUGAUAGAAAAGAGAUUUCUGAAACAAAUGAUAUCAUCAGGUGUUUCUGUACGUAAAGUGAAUACAUAGAUGAUCAAAUUCGAAGUAAGCAAGCAGGUAUUUCUAUGCAAAAUAAUAAAGCGUAGUGUCUAUAAAAUCAUUAAUUUUAGUAUUUUUCUUGUUAUGUUCAAGUUUGUUUAUUUGUACAGCACAUUUUACACAGUCCCCAGACUGCCCAAAGGGCUUUCCAGAGAAAAAACAAAUCAAUAUACAAUGAAUAAGACCUCAUUCAUUGAAAAUACAUUAUAAAAUACUCAAUAAAAUGAAUAAUAAACAUAAACACAAAACUACUAAUAUCAAAAUACAAUAAAUAACACAAUUCUUGUCAAUUUACAGUCCACCUGUCCCCCUUAAAGGGCCGUUCACACUAUAACAAUAACUAUAUUAGCGUCCACGUCACCGAAUUAUAGCGAUACAUUUAUGCUAAUUCGCUCAUGCACACGGCACUCGCGCAAAUCACUUGCCUUUAAUAAAGCAAUAAGCCCCAAGAUGCAGUGGUGAUACAGUGCAUUUUAUAACAGCUAAGGGGCGUUUCGCGUCAUGCCUAAAACCCCCUUAGCUGUUAUAAAAAGCACAGUAACAUCACUGCUUCGCAGGGCUUAUUGCUUUUUUAAAACCUUUACUUCAUACACUCAAAAAAAUGAAUCCCGCCAUAGUUUAUCAUUAAGUAUUUGUAUCAUUUUCAUUUUAUUUAAAAAUAUUUUUUUCCAAAAUUAUGUAGUCAGAUUGCAUAAAAUCAAUGUAAUUUUGAUCAUUGUGAAAACUAUUUGAUUUUAUUAGUUAAAAAGCAUGAAAUGUUUUUGCAUACGAUCUUUUGGAAAUGCCGAUCCAUACUCCAGUUGUUAGGUGGCAGUAUUGCACAUCAGGUAGAUGACAUUCACAUGCAAAAAAGACUCAGAAGGAGAAGAUCAGCAUCAUCUCCUUGCCACCUUGCUUUUGAGCAGCAUGGAUCGUGACUAGUUUGCAAGAUACUUCAAGAUGCCUCAUCCUUAAUUUUAUUUGUGUGGUGGGACAACCUUCUAAACCUUGUGAAGAGGAGGGUGCCACGUGUCAACGAAACACGAGGUGGAGGACCAAGGGUUGCCCAGGAGGAAAUACCUACCGAUCACUGGAACGAAGGAGCUCCACCCCCCCAACCCCC
Molecule: long non-coding RNA, 1821 nt
Organism: Misgurnus anguillicaudatus (oriental weatherfish)
Lineage: Eukaryota; Metazoa; Chordata; Actinopteri; Cypriniformes; Cobitidae
Source: RefSeq, a predicted model, not a curated record